AAGCAGGAUUUAGACUACAAUUUAGCGGUUCAUUGCUGUGUCAUCAUUCCUCCUGCUAAAAAUGAAAUUAUUUUUUAACCUAUCCCUGUGUGCUGAACUCUUGUAGCGGCCAGGGAGGCUUGGUCUCAUACAC
This 133-nucleotide small nucleolar RNA is filed under the name Dasypus novemcinctus (nine-banded armadillo). Its description in RNAcentral is "Small nucleolar RNA SNORA63 (ENSDNOG00000039715.1)". It matches the Rfam family "Small nucleolar RNA SNORA63". From Rfam's summary of the family: E3 belongs to the H/ACA class of snoRNAs and is involved in the processing of eukaryotic pre-rRNA and has regions of complementarity to 18S rRNA. The record is from RNAcentral. Lineage: Eukaryota; Metazoa; Chordata; Mammalia; Cingulata; Dasypodidae.